RNAcentral lists this ribosomal RNA (243 nucleotides) under Triticum aestivum (bread wheat). Its description in RNAcentral is "partial small subunit ribosomal RNA". Lineage: Eukaryota; Viridiplantae; Streptophyta; Magnoliopsida; Poales; Poaceae. The record is from RNAcentral.
AUGCCCCAUCUCUUGUCUCGCUCGCAGGCACCGAAGAAGGAGAAGGCCCCAGCGGCAUCGUCGAAGCCGGCCAAGUCCGGCAGUGGCAAGCAGAAGAAGAAGAAGUGGAGCAAGGGCAAGCAAAAGGAGAAGGUGAACAAUGCGGUGCCCAAGUACAAGCAGCCUGUGUUUGUCUACCUGCAGAUCAACGGGUCUCUGACAAGCAGAUCACGCCCUACGUCCUCUCCGAGCGCCUUAGGGUAA